RNAcentral lists this ribosomal RNA (488 nucleotides) under uncultured bacterium. Its description in RNAcentral is "bacterial SSU rRNA". It matches the Rfam family "Bacterial small subunit ribosomal RNA", at positions 30 to 512 of the family's 1533-position model. The record is from RNAcentral.
AUUGAACGCUGGCGGCGUGCUUAACACAUGCAAGUCGUGCGGUAACAGGCGUAGCAAUACGUGCUGACGAGCGGCGAACGGGUGCGUAAUACAUGGGAAUCUGCCCUUUAGUGGGGAAUAACCCGGCGAAAGCCGGGCUAAUGCCGCAUAAGAUCUUCGGAUGAAAGCGGGGGAUCGUAAGACCUCGCGCUGAUGGAUGAGCCCAUGUCGGAUUAGCAGUUGGUGAGGUAACGGCUCACCAAGGCGACGAUCCGUAGCUGGUCUGAGAGGACGGCCAGCCACACUGGGACUGAGACACGGUCCGGACUCCUACGGGAGGCAGCAGUGGGGAAUAUUGGACAAUGGGGGCAACCCUGAUCCAGCGACGCCGCGUGGGUGAAGAAGGCUGCGGGUUGUAAAGCCCUUUCGGUGGGGAAGAAAGUCUCGACCUAAUACGUCGGGACCUUGACGUAACCCACUAAAGAAGCACCGGCUAACUCUGUGCCAGC